UCCAAUCUGCUCACUGAAAUUUUAAAGAGCCGCAGUAUAUUGACUGUGCAAAGGUAGCAUAAUCAAUAGUUUUUUAAUUGAGAACUUGUAUGAAAGAUUAGACGAGAAAUUUAUUUUCUUUAUUUUAUAUAAUUAAAUUUUAAUUUUAAGUGAAAAUGCUUAAGUAAAUUUAAAAGACGAGAAGACCCUAUAGAUUUUUAUUAUUUAAAUAAAUUUAAUAAAAAAUUUAGUAAAAUAAUUUCAUUGGGGUGAUUUUGUAAUAAAAAAAACUUAAUUAAAAAAAACCAUAAAUAAUUGAAAUUUUUGAUCUAAAAUUUUUAAAGAAAAGAUUAAAUUACCUUAGGGAUAACAGCGUAAUUUUUUUUAAGAGUUCAUAUCUAUAAAAAAGUUUGCGACCUCGAUGUUGAAUUAAGAUAAAAUAUUGAAGUAG
Molecule: ribosomal RNA, 430 nt
Filed under: Trichadenotecnum sp. Ghana
Lineage: Eukaryota; Metazoa; Arthropoda; Insecta; Psocodea; Psocidae
Description: partial 16S rRNA
Source: RNAcentral